Molecule: long non-coding RNA, 1092 nt
Filed under: Junco hyemalis (dark-eyed junco)
Lineage: Eukaryota; Metazoa; Chordata; Aves; Passeriformes; Passerellidae
Description: lncRNA (ENSJHYG00000000154.1)
Source: RNAcentral
CAGAAUUAGAGGGAAAUGUGGGAGGUAAUGUGGGAGGUCCCUGAAGGCACCUGUGGGCUGCCUCCUCCCAUUCCUGCACCCGGGCUGCCUGCGAGCCCCUUUAAAUUGCGGCUUGGCAGAGCCCUGGGCACAGCCUUCAUCAGCAUGGCACCGAGCAUCCUCCUGCUGGGGCUCCUCACCCUGUGGGCACAGCUGCAGGCAGCACCCAUUGCAGAGUUCCACGGAGUGGCUCCAGCUGGGUGGCCACCACCAGGGCAGCUGGGAAGCACCCUGAGCCUUGAGCCUGGCAGAGAGCUCAGCACGGUGCCUGGCAAUGGCAAAAACAGCUCCAAUAGAGGUGAAACUGGUGACUCCAGUAGCCAUGAAACUGGUGAGUCCAGUAGCAGUGAAACUGGUGAUGAUGGCAAUAAAAAUCAGCUUUGUGAUUGCAAUGAUCAUGAUCAUGCUGGCAACGACGGUGAUGAUGAUGGUGAUGAUCAUGAUCAUGGUGUCAACAGUGACAAUUCCAAUAGCAAAGAACAUGGUGAUGAUGGUGAUAAAAAUGACCUUUUUAAUGGCAAGGACAAUGACAAUGGUAAUGGUGGCAAUGACAGUGGUGAUGGUGUCAGCAGUGACAAUUCCAAAAGCAAUGAAGAUGAUGGUGAUGAAGGUGUUAAAAAUGAUCUUUCUGAUGGCAAGGACAAUGACAGUGAUGAUGACAGUGAUGAUGGCCAUGGUGCUGGUGAUGAUGGCAAUGAUGAUGGUGAUGAUCUCAUCAAUGAUGAAAAUUCCAAUAGCAAUGAAGAUGAUGAUGAUGAUGGCAACAGUGAUGAAAAUUCCAGUAGCAAUGAAGAUGAUGAUGAUGAUGACAUCUACAGUGACAGUUCCAAUAGCAGUGAAGAUGGUGACUCCAAUUACAAUGAAUAUGAUCACUCCAAUAGCAAUGAAAAUGAUUCUGAUUAUGGGGGGUGGAGAUAUUAGAAUGUAAGGAUGUAAUUGCCCUGGGAUCAGAGAUUUUUGGGUUCCUCUUUUGUAGUAUCCAGCUCAGGUUACCAGAUUUCAUGCCUGAUCUGUGCCAAUAAAUGUAUCUAGCGAAUAUGAGAGCUUAGUGUC